ACCACGUCCCCUCCAAAUAAAUAAUCCCCAGCUGCCCAUUCCCCGCAGCUGGUGAAACUUCCUUUGCCUCUCAUCUUUGCUCCCUUGUUACUGGACUUCUCCUAAUACUCUUCUAACCCCCCGCUUUUUUUUCUUCUUCGGGUGGGGAGCGCCUGGGCUGGAGCUAAAGGUGAAGGUAAAUCUCCCGCCGACGGCGCGGGCAAAGGGAGCCCCUGAGGGCUCUGCCGCGCCCCUCGUGCUCUGGUUUUCCUCUCCCUGAAGCGCUGUGUACACAACGGGCUCGCUUCUGCCUUUCAAUUAGGUGACAGAGGGAACGGCCACCGGAGGAGACGGGAUCUCUGAGGAGAGCGGGGAGCAACGGCAUCCCUUCCGGCCGCAACAGUGAUGCAGCUGUAAAGUGACUCAGUUGUCACCCUGUGGUGACAAGGGACCCUCCUGAAACAGAAGGACAUAUGUGAACAAGGAAUCCACUGUAUGAAGAGUACAACAGAUCCAAAGCAUCCCACUAUUGCAGAGAGUUACAUACCAAGGACCAGAUACCUGCGCCUUAAACAAACCUCCCUAACAUACUGCAUACUCUUUAUUCUGCACUGCAGAAUGCAUCCUUGAGCUUUCUGAAACACAUGAAAUGACACAGAAUGAAAUGAGAAGUUAUUUUGAGAGAGGGGAGUGAUAUUGUAAAAACCUAUCUGGAAGACAGCUGCAACACUGCUGGCUCCUGCUUUUGGCUGUGUAUGCUACACAAAUACGAAUGUCUCUUACACUUGAUUAAAGGUUUUGGUGUCUUUGAGUGCAAUUUCAAAACAUAUCCCAGUAAGUGGCAUCAUGAUGACAUCCACACAGCUGAGACCUCUGGCACUCCUAGUAUCUGAACACUGGCUAACUGUGACAAGUUGCUCUCCUACAGCAGUAUCACAGUUUUAAAAAAAUUGUGUUUCUUGUGUCCCAGUUGUGCAGUGAGUGAGACACCACAUCUGCACAAAAUUAUGCCAUUAACUCACUGUUUUCACCAUCUGUCCUUUUCCAUUUUACCAUCCUUUCCGCAUUCUUGACUACUCUUAACCAUGUGAUCCAGCCCCAUCCUUCUAUAUCUUCCAUCACUUCUAAGUUUCUUUCCCUUUUAUCCCACCCUCACUCCAUAUCUCAGUUUCAUUGAUUUCUGUCUAUGAUCUCAGCAUACUUGAUGACACCAUCUGAAAUUCCCUUGAAAUCUCAGGCUCUAGGUGUUCUGAUUGUUAUCUAGAUUCCUUACUGAACUGGUAGCUUCGACACAUCUCUUUCGCAAAUAAUGGGCACAAUGCUUAGGACUCAGAAGGCAGCCACUGAGGACAUGGGAAAACUUUGUUUUCAGUUCAGGAACCUGGGUCUUACUUGGACUGAGUUCAGAACUGCAGUCACAGGACUUGCCAAAAACCUAAAUUCAAACACAUCCAGUACAGGUGGAAUAUUGAAGACCAAGAUGUCUACAGAAUUAUGCAAUUUGAGAUUUUUAUUAAUUUACUAAGCCAGGACACAUUUUCACUACCAAAGUGUGUGCUUUGGACUGAGUAUUAUUUGAGAAGAUUUCACUAAAAAUGAUUGAACUAUUUCCCAGGAUGAACUCUUGAGGAAAACAGGUAUUUUUCCCCCUGUAUGUUAGGAAUAUAGACUGCAUACAUUUAAGAAGCUCUAGUAUCUUCAAGCUUUAGUCCAGGGAAUUUAUUUCUAUUUAGCCUGGUUUUGAUACAAAGAACUGAGAGCAAUACAAUGCAUACUUACUCAACUGUCAAGCUAUUUCAAAUAAAUAAAUUUAGCUUAGCAGGAUCUUCACUAGAAUUCCUGUUUCCUGCCAAGACAACAGUCCCCAACAGCAGAACAAUUGUGACUAAGAAGAUAUAAUUGCAUUAUCCUAGUUCUGAGUUCAUAAAGCAUGAUAGGAACGGAAGCUGCUUAAUUCAAAUGCAGAGGAACAAAGAAAUAGGAGGAAGAGAUGUAGAACACAAGGAAAGGAACAGGACCUGAACAAUAUCCCAACUAUUACAGUAGUACUAAAUAAUGUCUCUUAAUGGGUAAGACUAUGUUGUGAAAGAAGAUACAAGUUCUGCUGACUAUCUACACUAAUGAUCUCAUGAGUCCUUCCUAGUGUCAUAAAACAUCAAAUAUCAAAGAAAAUUAUUUUAAUUAAAUGUUGAUCUUAUAGUAUUUUAUUUGAUAGAAUGUUCCUUUAUUUAUUUUCUGGACAUACAAACUCUGCCUAUGUUAUAUAAAUAUGUUUUAGCAGUUAAGACUGCAGAAAUUCCACCUGGCACAUUUGCAGAACUGACCUUUUCUUUCCCCUUUUCAUCACCAUCUUCCAAAAAACAUACACUUAAGUUGCUGUAAGACAGGUACAGUAGAUGACUUCCCAUUCCUUAGUACUUGGAGCUUGAGCUGAAUAGGUUUGUUUGCUCAAGCUAGAUACUUGUUUGAAGCUCAGAGAAGUAAUUGUACAAAUAUUUGAGAUAUGCUUUCAGCUAAUACAAAAGUGAAGACAAUUCCUUGUUUUUUUCCCCAUGAUAUAUCAAACAACAGGUGUGUAAUACACACGUACACUUGUACCAAGCACACUUGUGUAAGCACUAAUCUCCACUAAUACCUGACAGUAAUUAGAAAUCCAGAAUAACACAUUUUUAAACUAUAUUCAUGUUUCCCUUAUGUUAAAUCUCAUUUAACUCAGGAAACCUUUAUUAAGGUUAGAAUGACAGAAAGCAAAUGUUGAGAAAUUUAAAAUCUAAUAGCUAUUUUCAUUAUGUCCUGGUGAUACUUUUUGUUUGUUUGCUUACCCUUGCCAGAGAAGCUCAUCAUUAGCAAGAUCCUGCCAGACACAUGAAGCUAGACAGAGAUCAGUUGCAUUCAGGUAUGACAAAAUGGUAAAACUAAGCUCUGGUGGCAGCAUUUCCAGGUUAAUGAAUCCUUCUUGUUCUUUAGAUUUUCUUGUCUUCAACAGGUGGUAGAUAUCAAUGCCUCCUUGAGCUUGUUUGCGAUGGUUUGUAUUGGAAACAUUGUUAGUAGCUAUCCUCCUACCAUGUUCUCUGGUAAGAUAGCUUUGUCCACUGUAUCCUUGGUGUUGCAGUUGCUGGCUCCUUGCAACUCUCCAGAGUCCUUGACCCAUCUGCGAGCCUGCUGGACAUAAAAUCUAAAUUAAAUGUUGACAACUCUUUAUAAAUAUUUGUAAGAUAGACUCAGCACACACUAGAAAAAUGAAAUUGUAGGGCUGAUCUGAAUACAAAAAAGAAGAGUUUUGUCAAAGUUAUGCUGAUGAUGUAAUCUGCCUCUAAUGGAGCAACUGAAUAAACACUGAAAAGAAAAACCAUAAAAAAUAUAAGUUUAUUUUUUAAAAACCUUUCUAUGCUUGAAGAGCUAUGAAAUUAACAAUAAGCUUCUGCAAACAGCACCAAACAUUAUCUAUAUCCUAUGGAACUUAAGAAGCCUUAACCAUCAUAACAUUUGGAAUUAUCAUCUUCAGACUUCCUUUAAAAUUUAAUAUAGAUACCUUAUUUAGAGUUAAUGAAGUUCUAUGAAAUAUAAGAAGAAAUAAAAAUGUCCUCAGUAGUGGGCAGCACACAAAACGAGGCUGUGACUGACAUUAACACAAAGCUUAACAACGUCAAUGAUAAUCCAUUAAGGAUUUAGUUUCUUGUUUCUGAACAGCCAAAAUAUCUUUUCAAGUUUUCUUGCACAGUAGCAUAAAACCUUCAUGAUAAGGCUUUUUUAUCUUACUUAUCACCCUGUUUGCUAUUUUUUGUCAAACUUUGCUACAGAUGGUAAUAAAAAUAACAGACCCUGAA
Molecule: long non-coding RNA, 3806 nt
Organism: Columba livia (rock pigeon)
Lineage: Eukaryota; Metazoa; Chordata; Aves; Columbiformes; Columbidae
Exons: 6
Source: RefSeq, a predicted model, not a curated record